AACACAGAUCUAGACAUCAGAAUGGCCUGAUGUGACAGUAUAGGCCACUCAGAACAAUAUGGCCUCUGGUGGCAGUGUGGCUCAUGGUCAUCAAUAUAAAUACUCCUGGCAACACAAAUGACAGACAUCUAUAAGACCUUCAGGAGUAAUAUGGGCUAUGGACAUAAACAGACCCCAGCUGAAGUAGAACCAUGAACCCAGACAUGGCCACCACCAGAAGCAAAGACCUGGACAUCACCAUGACCUCAGACAGCAGUGCAGGCCUUUCACAUCUACAUGGCCCCUGGUGGCAGCAUGGCCCUACGUACAUCAAGAUGGCCUCAGCUGCCUGUCCAUCUACCAAGUCUGUCCUGCUAGCAUAUUGAAAGAAACCUCAGAUGUCUAGUAAACCAUGGGUUAAACCAACAAACUCAAUCUUCUAAAAUAACACCAGCCUGCCAUUCAGGUGUAUCAGUCCUUGUGAGCCACUGGACCACUGGCAACAAUUUGGCGCCCAGACUGGAACCUGAAGAAGUUUAGGAGGACGCUGAGGGAACGCUGUUUUGUGUGGAGCUCCACGGAAGAAAAAGAAAAAGAAAAGGAUUGUAUCGGACAAUGAAGCAACAGAAAAAGAAGUUGUAGCGAGAUGGCUGCCUGAGAGAUUAGUUCGUCAACUGGACACAGAUCCUGAAUCUUCUAGUCAGUCAACACCCUUUAGCCUGACUGCAGCAGGCAUGCAUCCCCGCCCCCAACAGCACACAGGUGGCAGUUACUAAUCUUCAUUGAAGAAGCAUUCCAAUACUGCUACCUGCUGAGAGGCCCCAGAGCUAUUCCGGAGACUACACCCUAUCCUGCAUGUCAUCACCUGCAGCUGGUUCCAGGCUCCAAAGAUGAAUUGGCAGGAAUGGGCUUUCCCCCUUCCUUUAUAAAGCAUGUCCGCCAUUAAAAAUUUGAACCUUGAUCAGAA
Molecule: long non-coding RNA, 946 nt
Filed under: Mus musculus (house mouse)
Lineage: Eukaryota; Metazoa; Chordata; Mammalia; Rodentia; Muridae
Description: predicted gene, 32209 (Gm32209)
Source: RNAcentral